GAUGAACGCUGGCGGCGUGCCUAACACAUGCAAGUCGAACGAACAGAUCAGGAUUUUGUUGUUCUGUCCGUAGAGGCGGACGGGUGAGUAACACGUGGAUCACCUAUCUAUAAGACUGGGAUAACGUCGGAAAACCGGAGACUAUACCGGAUAAUCUAUUGAACCGCAUGGUUCUGUAGUGAAUGGCGGUUUUUCUGCUACUUAUAGAUGGUUCUGUGCCGCAUUAGCUGGUUGGUAAGGUAACGGCAUACCAAGGCAACGAUGCGUAGCCGACCUGAGAGGGUGAUCGGCCACACUGGAACUGAGACAGGGUCCAGGCUCCGACGGGAGGCAGCAGUAGGGAAUCGUCCGCAAUGGGCGAAAGCCUGACGGAGCAACGCCGAGUGAGUGAUGAAGGUCUUCGGAUCGUAAAACUCUGUUCUUAGGGACGAACAGAUGUGUAAGUAGCUAUGCACGUCUUGACGGUACCGGAUCAGGAAGCAACGGCUAACUACGUG
Molecule: ribosomal RNA, 497 nt
Filed under: uncultured bacterium
Lineage: Bacteria
Description: partial 16S ribosomal RNA
Rfam family: Bacterial small subunit ribosomal RNA
Source: RNAcentral